GCGAGUGGCGAACGGGUGAGUAAAGUAUCGGAACGUACCUUUCAGUGGGGGAUAACGUAGCGAAAGUUACGCUAAUACCGCAUAUUCUGUGAGCAGGAAAGCAGGGGAUCGCAAGACCUUGCGCUGAUUGAGCGGCCGAUAUCAGAUUAGCUAGUUGGUGGGGUAAAGGCCUACCAAGGCGACGAUCUGUAGCGGGUCUGAGAGGAUGAUCCGCCACACUGGGACUGAGACACGGCCCAGACUCCUACGGGAGGCAGCAGUGGGGAAUUUUGGACAAUGGGCGCAAGCCUGAUCCAGCCAUGCCGCGUGAGUGAAGAAGGCCUUCGGGUUGUAAAGCUCUUUCGGCCGGGAAGAAAUCGUGUGGGCUAAUACCCUGCAUGGAUGACGGUACCGGAAUAAGAAGCACCGGCUAACUACGUGCCAGCAGCCGCGGUAAUACGUAGGGUGCGAGCGUUAAUCGGAAUUACUGGGCGUAAAGCGUGCGCAGGCGGUUUUUUAAGACAGGCGUGAAAUCCCCGGGCUUAACCUGGGAACUGCGCUUGUGACUGGAAGGCUAGAGUACGGCAGAGGGGGGUGGAAUUCCACGUGUAGCAGUGAAAUGCGUAGAGAUGUGGAGGAACACCGAUGGCGAAGGCAGCCCCCUGGGCCGAUACUGACGCUCAGCACGAAA
This 670-nucleotide ribosomal RNA is filed under the name uncultured bacterium. Its description in RNAcentral is "bacterial SSU rRNA". It matches the Rfam family "Bacterial small subunit ribosomal RNA", at positions 91 to 758 of the family's 1533-position model. The record is from RNAcentral.